UACUCAGCUGCCCUUUCGCACAUCGACAUACCUCCUGCAGCAGCGCCUUUUUUCCUCUAGCCAAGUUCUCCCGCUGCCAUGGACUCGGAGGAAAGCAACGUUUUCACAGACCUAAACCUGGCCUAUGAAGUGGUAUCUGCCAGGCACACGGAGCUCUGCAGAUGUGAGAGAAUACCGUGCGAGGAAAGCGCCUGCAGUGCAGAGCUACAGAGGUGUGCAAACGACAGCGUCACAACUGACACAACGAUAAAAAGGCUGGAGGGCGAGCUGAUCGAAACCAAGAAAAUGCUAUGGGCAGCCGAGGAUAUUAUUAUUGAUGAACGCAUACUUGCGGCAAAACUAGAGCGGUCACACCUGCCGCCUGAACCCAGUCUCCUGCUUUCCCUUUCACUUUUUUUCAACUUUUGUGCUGUCGCUGGAGUCUGCUGUCUACUCCUGCGGCGCAUUUCACACCGACUAGAUUGAAUCGCUCUUCUGCACUUCCGCGUCUUGCUUCCUGUUGCUGCGAAACAGUGUUUAUUUGGGAAGCCAUGCCCUUGAUCGGCUUGCAUGUCGCCUUGCAGUUCCCCGCGACUACGACUGAUGCGAACGGCAAGCAGUGGCGCUGCCAUCAAAAAACGUGAAAAUAGUAGAACAUUGCACUUGGCCUUGCUUAGACUGCAUUGAACUCUUCAUAGCACAUUUCCAUCUUUUGCCUUUUUGUACCACUUCUAUUCCCUAAACCUUCGACGUCUCAGGUGCGCUCACGUGCUCAGGGAAGAAAACAAAUCCUUCGUGACAGCUUGGCUUUCCAUGUGCAUCUGCACCGCAAGCUGCGUGAUGAUAGCGGCUUGUCUGCCCUUUUUUCACUGGCUUGUGACUUGCUCUGGGGCACAACUAUGUGAGCAGAGGAGCCAAGCGUGCAGCUUUCUGCAGGACAGACUAUCCGUAGUAUGCUUCGAGCCCCUUCAACGCCACAGUUAACAGUGGCUCUUCCUAGCCUUUCCUGCACCUUUCUCGUCCUUGUCCUUUGCUCGCAUCUUCUGCCUCUCCCUUUUAG
RNAcentral lists this unclassified non-coding RNA (1039 nucleotides) under Leishmania donovani. RNAcentral describes it as "gene:unknown". The record is from RNAcentral. Lineage: Eukaryota; Euglenozoa; Kinetoplastea; Trypanosomatida; Trypanosomatidae.